CUAAGAAGUAUAAAAGCUGCCUGCUCUGGCUACAUCUUAGUCCCCAUUUCUAUGAGAUCUCCAUGCCCGUGAAUGAAAAUUGUUAUUUUUCUCCUGUGAAUGUCUUGUGUCCACGUUAUCAUUCGUUCAGCAACGAGAAGGUAAAAUAAGGGGAGCUUAUUUAAGGUAAAAUAAGCUCCCCUUAUUUAGGUAAAAUAAGGGGAGCUUACCUUCCCAACAGGAGCUGAGAUCCUCCAGUUAAGGAGAAAGGAGGGGGGAAUUAGCUGCGUGUUCAGGUCUUUCCUUUUACAUGCGUGGCUGUGUCAUCAAUACGAAGGUCAGGCUGGACCUGAGGUUUCUUCACAUUUAUUAUUCAGAAGCACUCACUUUGACUAGAAAGGACCUGCAAACAAUUCAUGCAUCGGGCAGCACCCCAUCUGGCAAAUAGAAAGGCCCUCCUCUAUGGCAUAGAAAAAGGAAGGGGUUUUAAAGGGACUCCAUUAGGGGCCUGCUGUUUCUUUUUAACAGUGGAAAGGAAUACGUCAUCUCUUAAGGGCAGGCAUUGCUAUCCAAAGAGGCUUUAAGCAAACGUGUUUUUUUUCCCCCUCUUCUGUUGUUCCUAAACUAAAAUUAAAAUCUCUUUACUGGUUGGAGAAAAAAAAAAAAAAAAAGGAAAAACACCUCUUCGAUUUUAUCAUGAAUUAAAACUUCAACCUUAUAUAUUAUUGAAAUAGUAUGUCUUUAAUUUUGAGGUUAUUAUUUUGGUUCCUUUAGAGCUGACAUACAACUUUUGUUUAAAAUGGGCAUUGUGAUGAUUUGCUAAAAAUAUAUAUCUUGAGAAAUGAUUACUGCAGUAAGAGAUUUCUUUUCUACAAAGAUCCAGGAAUGCAGUUACCAUUCAUUCCUGGAUGGAACUGGGAAAAAGACAGAUGACAACUGGGAAAAAUUAUCAGGACAUUGUGAAUGGAGACAUGAAGAAUUCAGAAUUUCACAGCGGACUUUCAUAGUCGGUACUGGCUCUUCCUGUUUUUUUUUUUUAAAAGGCAUGUCUUUCAGAAUUGAGUAGUUUUUCUCAAAAGGAACUAUCACCCUUCCCACAAGUCUAGGAGGCAGUUGGGAAUAUUUGGAAAUGCUUUUGUAAAGCGUAACAAGGGCGAGCAGAUAUAAUUAUGCUCAGUAUUGAUCCAAAAGGAAGGUAACCUUUCACUUAUGAGAGGAAAAAAGUCCCUAUCUUAUAGUAUAAUUUAUAUUAGGGUUACACUCACUCUCAAGUUAGAUUUAUUGUGAAAUUUAAAGCAGACACCCAAGCCCUGAUUGCAGCUGGCAAAGCGCCCUCUACUGGCGCUUUCCCGAGCUCGCUAAGUCCCCCAAAGCCACACUCAGGCCCUAGAUAGGGUGCCCUCCUGAAACCUCCACCACACUCCUGGGUCUUCAGUGAGUUUGCAGAAUGACUCAGGACUAUUUUCAAUUUAAUCAUAAGUUUAAGAAUUUUUUUUAAAAAAGCUUAAUUGUACGUAGGUUUUCAAAGAUGGCUUUUUGUCACUAUCUGGAAAACAUGGUUAUAGGCUUUUCAACGGACGAAUUCUCUUUAGAAUACGAAAACAAUUAACAUGUUCCCUAGAAGUCAAACACUUUAAAUACAUGUUAAUAUCACGAAUUCUAAUUUUCUUGAAUUCCCUGACCUCUCCGUUCCAGGGUCAGUUUUAUACCUUGGUCCAAAUGGCUGGAGAGACCAAUUUUAUAUCUUGGUCCAAGAUGGCAGUGGCAGCCCUUACACCAGGGCAGUUUUUCCCAGAGGCACCCAGCGCUGCCACCUACCCCACAGCUCACUUCAAAGCCGGAUCCUGAACCCACUGAGUGAGGCCAGGGAUGGAACCUGCAUCCUCAAGGAUCCUAGUCGGGUUUGUUUCCACUGAGCCACAAGGGGAACUCCCCCGAGCACUUUUCUGACACCGAUGUCUACACACAAAGAUCUAUGUAACACUGGGUAUAGCCUUUUUUUUUUUGGUCUUUUUAGGGCUGCACACAUGGCAUAUGUAUGUUCCCAGACUAAGGGUUGGAGCUGUAGCUGCUGGCCUACACUACAGCCACAGUAACAUGGGAUCCAAGCUGCGUCUGCAAACUACACCACAGCUCACGGCAAUGCCAGAUCCUUAACCCACUGAGCAAGGCCGGGGAUUGAAACUGCAUCCUCACUGAUACUAGUCAGAUUCGUUUCUACUGACCCACAAUGGGAACUCCCCUAAUUUUUUUUUUGAAAGUGUGUAAAAAGAUGUGUGAAGAGAGAAGGAGAAAGAGAUUGUAGAUGCAAAGAUUUGGGGGUAUGCUAGACGUCUAUAAAAUACUCAAGUUAAUGAUAUAAAUGUAUGUAUUAGGAUAAAUGUAGGUGUAUUGAUCAAACUGAGAAAUAGUUCUGAAGAGAUAUAUUUAGCUAAAUAAAAAAAAAUGGAUUACUUCACUAGCAGAUAGUGAAUCUUUAAAACCGAAAGCAAUGAAUCACAAAAUAUAGUUUUAACUACUAUUGAAAUAAUACAAGGACUCAGUAACAGUUUUUUGGGUUUUUUGUUUUGUUUUGUUUUUUUUCCUUUUUUGGCCAACCUUUGGCAUAUGGAGUUUCCCAGCCAGGGAUCAGAUCUGAG
RNAcentral lists this long non-coding RNA (2618 nucleotides) under Sus scrofa (pig). RNAcentral describes it as "lncRNA (ENSSSCG00000054040.1, ENSSSCG00105010167.1, ENSSSCG00110023468.1)". The record is from RNAcentral. Lineage: Eukaryota; Metazoa; Chordata; Mammalia; Artiodactyla; Suidae.